RNAcentral lists this ribosomal RNA (587 nucleotides) under uncultured euryarchaeote. RNAcentral's name for it is "bacterial SSU rRNA". It matches the Rfam family "Archaeal small subunit ribosomal RNA", at positions 24 to 619 of the family's 1478-position model. Lineage: Archaea; Methanobacteriati; Methanobacteriota. The record is from RNAcentral.
UCACUGCUAUCGGGGUUCGAUUAAGCCAUGCGAGUCGAGAGGGUUCGGCCCUCGGCGUACUGCUCAGUAACACGUGGAUAACCUGCCCUAAGGAAGGGGAUAACCUCGGGAAACUGAGGAUAAUACCCUAUAGGAUACCGAUGCUGGAAUGCCCGGUAUCCCAAAGCUCCGGCGCCUUAGGAUGGAUCUGCGGCCGAUUAGGUCGUUGUUGGGGUAACGGCCCAACAAGCCGAUAAUCGGUACGGGUUGUGGGAGCAAGAGCCCGGAGUUGGAUUCUGAGACACGAAUCCAGGCCCUACGGGGCGCAGCAGGCGCGAAAACUUUACAAUGCGGGCAACCGUGAUAAGGGAACCUCGAGUGCCUGUACAUGCAGGCUGUCUGGGUGUCUAAAACACACCCAAAGAAAGGGCCGGGCAAGACCGGUGCCAGCCGCCGCGGUAAUACCGGCGGCUCGAGUGGUGGCCACUUUUAUUGGGCUUAAAGCGUUCGUAGCUGGGUUGUUAAGUCUCUUGGGAAAUCUGGCAGCUUAACUGUCAGGCGUCUAAGAGAUACUGGCAAUCUAGGAACCGGGAGAGGUGAGGGGUACU